GUUCUUGUAGUUGAAUUACAACGGUGGUUUUUCAAAUCAUUAGUCUUGGUUAGACUCCGAGCAAGAAUU
RNAcentral lists this transfer RNA (69 nucleotides) under Scopelengys tristis (Pacific blackchin). RNAcentral's name for it is "tRNA-Glu". It matches the Rfam family "tRNA". Rfam says of the family: Transfer RNA (tRNA) molecules are approximately 80 nucleotides in length. Their secondary structure includes four short double-helical elements and three loops (D, anti-codon, and T loops). The record is from RNAcentral. Lineage: Eukaryota; Metazoa; Chordata; Actinopteri; Myctophiformes; Neoscopelidae.